Molecule: long non-coding RNA, 276 nt
Filed under: Bos taurus (domestic cattle)
Lineage: Eukaryota; Metazoa; Chordata; Mammalia; Artiodactyla; Bovidae
Description: long non-coding RNA NONBTAT019277
Source: RNAcentral
CGGUGUCAAGAAAAUUAUAGGAAAUGAGUUAAAUACACUUCGAAAGCAUACUUUUUUAAAUGUUGAAGUAAGUGACACUGACAUUAAUCAGAGUUGCCCUGUUGUGCAGAGAUAGUUCCAAAGUGAGUUGAUUAAGUAUCACAUAUUCUCUAAUUUAAUUAGAGAAUUCAGGUUCAAAUUCUGAAUGAUUUGGCCGUGGUGUUUGCUUUAAUGGUUACCUUUCCCAGCAUUACAGAUAUUGUUUUUGUUUGUUUGUUUGUUUGACCAACAUACACA